GACGAACGCUGGCGGCGUGCUUAACACAUGCAAGUCGAACGGAAAGGCCCUGCUUUUGUGGGGUGCUCGAGUGGCGAACGGGUGAGUAACACGUGAGUAACCUUCCCUUGACUUUGGGAUAACUUCAGGAAACUUGGGCUAAUACCGGAUAGGAGCUCCUGCUGCAUGGUGGGGGUUGGAAAGUUUCGGCGGUUGGGGAUGGGCUCGCGGCUUAUCAGCUUGUUGGUGGGGUAGUGGCUUACCAAGCCUUUGACGGGUAGCAGGCCUGAGAGGGUGACCGGCAACAUUGGGACUGAGGUAAGGCCCAGACGCCUACGGGAGGCAGCAGUGGGGAAUAUUGCACAAUGGGCGGAAGACUGAUGCAGCAACGCCGCGUGCGGGAUGACGGCCUUCGGGUUGUAAACCGCUUUCGCCUGUGACGAAGAGUGAGUGACGGUAAUGGGUAAAGAAGCACCGGCUAACUACGUG
RNAcentral lists this ribosomal RNA (468 nucleotides) under uncultured bacterium. RNAcentral's name for it is "partial 16S ribosomal RNA". It matches the Rfam family "Bacterial small subunit ribosomal RNA", at positions 28 to 507 of the family's 1533-position model. The record is from RNAcentral.